This is a long non-coding RNA of Notothenia coriiceps (black rockcod), 3122 nucleotides long. RefSeq lists it as uncharacterized. The record is from RefSeq and is a predicted model, not a curated record. Lineage: Eukaryota; Metazoa; Chordata; Actinopteri; Perciformes; Nototheniidae. The transcript has 2 exons.
UCCUUCAGGAAGGACCACAAGAUGGCUCUGAUCCAGAUGGGCUCGGUGGAGGAAGCCAUCGAGUCCCUGAUCGAGUUCCACAACCACGACCUGGGAGAAAACCACCACCUCCGAGUCUCCUUCUCCAAAUCCUCCAUCUGAGCCUCAGAGCGUCUGAACCGUGUCCACUACACUCCCAUCAUUCCUACGCACGUCUGCAAGAAACCACCGUGAAGUCUGGUGUGAUGUUAAAUUAUUUUUUUAAAACUCAUUUUUAGGUUCUUUGCCUUCAAAGAGGAUUAGGGGGCAAUUUAAGAAGAAAAAUGGAGUUUGGGAGGAAGUCAGAAUUCUGGAUUUUUAUCUCGGACGUCGGGGAAUGAAGUCAGAAUUCUGAGUUUGUCAGAAAUAAACAGAUGUGUUCCGAUUAUAGUCAGGAUUUUGAUUAUAAUCGAGUUAUUAGUGCCCUUGUUGGGAAGUUUUUAACCAUUAGCCACUCUUGCCUUUUAGACUUUAAUCCUGAAAUUAAGGUAUUAAAGUUUUUUCUCCUCAACGCUGACUUCCCGACUUAAAAAACUCAGAAUUCUACCUUAAAUCUCAGAUUUCAAAUUGUCCUUAGAUGUUCCUAAUCCUCUUCUCUAAAGUUUCCCCCUUCUAAAGUAACGCUUCUAUCUUUUAAAUUAUCUGCUCUGACAACGUUUGGGAAGUCGAGAAUUUACCCACAAGCCGUCAGAAUCUAGUCCGGCCUCGUUAAGGAAGGCCUCGUUAAGGAAGGCCUCGUUAAGGAAGGCCCCGUUAAGGAAGGCCUCGUUAAGGAAGGCCUCGUUAAGGAAGGCUUAGUUUGACCUUAAUAUGAUCCCUGUGCCUUAUUCCUGGAGUCAGAAUCGACUUUGACAUGUUAAAAAAAAAAAUCUCCCAUCAUGCCUCUGUAAAUUGGCAAAGUGCAGGUUUACAGUUGAUAAAGGUUUACUGUUAAUGUAUUACAGAUAUAUCCUUAUUUUAUGUGUAUUUUAUUGGUGUUUUUCUUUAUGUUAGUGUUUUGUACUGCUGGUUACUGUAGCGUCGAACAUGUGAACGGAUUCUGUUGUAGCGGGUUUUUUUUAGAUACUCUUUUUUUUCCUCUAUUCCUUUUUGAUUUCUUUAUUUCCAUGUAUGCAAUCACGUUUUAUUCAAAAUCAAAUAUUGUAGCAAUAUUUUAAUCAUUCCUGAACUUUUACUUGUUGGUUUUUCUUUUUGUUGCUGGCUCGGCGGUUCUUCUCCUGCUGCCUUUUUACAAUCUGACGAAUGUCGCUUUGUUUCUGUCGGGUUUGUGAGUCGCGACGUGUUCGCUUGUCUCGUCUUCUCGCUUCGCCUCUGAACGGUUUUAUUUAUACGUUUGUGAUCCACUACAGCUGAAACCAAAAACGGCCUUUUUUAGAUGCAACAAAUCCGCCUGCCUCAGGUUUCUGGUUUUAAGGACUUAAGAAAAAUAACACACAAAGAUGGAAGAUUGUGAACUGGUUUGGGCUUUGGUGGUGUUUUCCUGUGGGAGGUUUUUAUUCAUUUCUCGACCGCUUCACUGGAUCUCUAUUGCGAACCCAGAUGUAACGUGUGAGUGCCUUCAAACGCAGCGCCGAGUCGGACAUCAGGUAUUAAUUCCUCUUUUACUCCGAGAUGAAAGUUUGACGGAGAAGAAAACCCCACGGUCGUCACAAAUGUGCUGAAACUAGAAGGUGCUGGUUUGGUUUAUCUGUGUGUCUUAAUAUUAUUACGUCGACAUUCCAGCUGCUCGUGACGAAGAUUCCCCGUUUCCCCUGAAGGUUUCCCCUGAGGCGUGAUGCAUUCAAGGCCCCUGGGAGGUUUCAGUAGCUGAGCUUUUAAACAGUUACUGAACAGAAGUCCGGACUCAUUCCAGAGGUUCAGAGAAGGUUCUCAUACAAGAGUUAAACUGACUACGUUUAUACGCACAAAAUAAUAUAAUUUAAGCCCUUUUUCUGGAUGAAAGACCCUUCCCUAGUAGACCGUUAGCAUGAAUAUUGUAUAUAAAUGUUUAACUUUUUCCACUUAGCAUGCAGCUGUGCAUUUUCCUAAUAACUCAAAUGUUUUUUCCAACUUUUCCCACCGGUUGUUGAUCCUUAAAAUGUGUUGAUAUACAAUUCUUUAAUACUUUGAAAACGUACACAUACACCAAUGCAUGAAAAAAUGAAAUGAUAGAAAAUAAUGAACUUUGUUUCAAUCGUUCAACUUUGAAUGAACCAAAUUAAAUCAAACCAAUUUAUGAAACUCAUAUUUUUGGCUAAGUCACGGCAGCAAAACAUUGAACCAGCAACUUUUCAGUUCCCAAGUCUAGAGGCUGAGCUGCUGAGCCAAUUAAGGCUCCAAAUAUCAAUACAUAAUAUCAACUGUAAAUGGCAUGUUUUCAAACUGCAUGUAAGUGUGCAUGUUAACGUAGUAUUUAGUAUUUUUCUUGAAUAUUACCCCAUUCUGGUUUCCAUAAUGGAUUUUUUCUUUCCUUCAAUGGCCUUAAUGCAUGUCACAAAUACUAUGUUUCAGAAAAGAUCUGCCCGUUACAUUCCCAGUGAGUGUGUAAGAUCAUUUUCACACAGUGUGGAGGAGCUUAAACAUUCACACACACACCAUCACAUCAAAACUAAUGAUGUGAGCAGCUGUUUUCUCCCAGUGGACCAAUGGAAACCUGCUGGAUGUAAAUAAUAGUUUUGUUAAUUCUUUCAGAAAUUCCUUUUAGUGUGUCUGCCAGAAAAAUGAAUGACACAAUGGCAUUAAGUCCUGUAUUUUCUGACGGAUACACACCACAUUCACAGUUAUUUCCCAGGGGCCUUGAAUGCAUCACGGCCUCAGUGUGGGGUGAGGCGGGUGAGAGGAGGAGGAGGAGGAGGGCGGGGUGUUGAGCUGUACAUACGUGUUUUAUACCACAGUGACGUGUCAGAGCUGAUGGUGGUUUUAUAUCUGAUGUAUAUUUUGAUUCAAAGUGAGCGCCCGGUUCUGAGCCUUUCACUGUUUGUGUCACAAAACAAAACAAGAAGCAGAUUAAAAUCACUUUUUAUCAGAAAACUCUGAAGGCACGAGUCGUCUGUUUAUAUCGAACACUGUCGAUGUUUGUAUGAUGUUGUGAUGAAAAUAAAAAGACAAGAGACGAGAAGCAGAAA